This 334-nucleotide unclassified non-coding RNA is filed under the name soil metagenome. Its description in RNAcentral is "partial contains 5.8S ribosomal RNA, internal transcribed spacer 2, and large subunit ribosomal RNA". The stretch from base 1 to 120 matches the Rfam family "5.8S ribosomal RNA", at positions 35 to 154 of the family's 154-position model. The record is from RNAcentral.
GAUGAAGAACGUAGUGAAAUGCGAUAAGUAAUGUGAAUUGCAGAAUUCAGUGAAUCAUCGAAUCUUUGAACGCACAUUGCGCCCGCCAGUAUUCUGGCGGGCAUGCCUGUUCGAGCGUCAUUUCAACCAUCAAGCCCCAGGCUUGUGUUGGAGCCCUGCGGCUGCCGCAGCCUCCCAAAACCAGUGGCGGGCUCGCUAUCACACCGAGUGCAGUAGUUUACUCUUCGCUCAGGGCGUGUGGCGGGUGCUAGCCGUAAAACCCCCAACUUCUCAAGGUUGACCUCGGAUCAGGUAGAAAUACCCGCUGAACUUAAGCAUAUCAAUAAGCGGAGGA